Molecule: ribosomal RNA, 428 nt
Filed under: uncultured bacterium
Lineage: Bacteria
Description: bacterial SSU rRNA
Rfam family: Bacterial small subunit ribosomal RNA
Source: RNAcentral
UAGGGAAUCUUCCACAAUGGGCGAAAGCCUGAUGGAGCAACGCCGCGUGAGCGAAGAAGGUCUUCGGAUCGUAAAGCUCUGUUGUAAGGGAAGAACAAGUGCAGUAGUAACUGGCUGCACCUUGACGGUACCUUACUAGAAAGCCACGGCUAACUACGUGCCAGCAGCCGCGGUAACACGUAGGUGGCAAGCGUUGUCCGGAAUUAUUGGGCGUAAAGCGCGCGCAGGCGGCCUCUUAAGUCUGAUGUGAAAGCCCCCGGCUUAACCGGGGAGGGUCAUUGGAAACUGGGAGACUUGAGUGCAGGAGAGGGAAGCGGAAUUCCAUGUGUAGCGGUGAAAUGCGUAGAGAUAUGGAGGAACACCAGUGGCGAAGGCGGCUUCCUGGCCUGUAACUGACGCUGAGGCGCGAAAGCGUGGGGAGCAAACAG